Molecule: long non-coding RNA, 1335 nt
Filed under: Heterocephalus glaber (naked mole-rat)
Lineage: Eukaryota; Metazoa; Chordata; Mammalia; Rodentia; Bathyergidae
Description: lncRNA (ENSHGLG00100044178.1)
Source: RNAcentral
GGGAGCCGGGGCGAGUAGGAGCCACCGGGUGGCCGGGGCGGGGGCGGGGGCAGGGACGCCCGCUUCCACUCAACCAGCUCGGAUUACACCCCCGCCGCCGGGAGGGGAAGGAAGUUGCUGGGCGGAAGGUGAACAACCCAGGCCGCUUCCUCAAGGCCCAGGAAGGCGGAGAGCCCUGCUGGUGGAGCAGAGAGCUGAAGCUGAGGACCAGGCUGGGGCAGGACGAAUAGCCAAACUGAGGUCAGCCUGGCACUGAGUCCCAGACUUGCUACGGGACGGGAAUCGCCGUCGGAAGACCCCUGACGUGUUCUCUCCUGUCCUGAGUCCAUGGCAGCGCCCCAGCCUGCAGCUCCCAGUGCCCGGCCAGCCCCUUCCGACCCCGCUGGCUGUGUCAGUACCAGAGAUCGAACUCAGGACCUUGAGGAGCAGGCAUCAGAACCACUGAGCUAAGUCCCCACCCUUGUCCUGCUUAGUUUUAAACACAUAAUUGGACAUCUCUCAGACGGCUGUCCUGGCUGGGACUCUUAGUGAGGACAGGCAGUUCGGAUCCUGAGACGGGGAGCAGGCGCGGCGCGGCCACUCUCCCACCGGAGCCCUGGUCCAGACUCGGACCGCUAGGCCACCCUGUGCCCAUGGACAGCACCAGCCUCGCACAGCACAAGUGUGUCAGGCUCCUGGCACACCUGUCACCCCCUCCCCGGUUCUCAAGUCCUGUGUGCCUGGCCGUGGGCCCAGGUCACCGUCCCUGAGCUCUGGUGACAGCUGCGCCUGACACCAGCUGACCAAGUCCCGGUCUACCGUCCCCACCAGGGCCUGGAUUCCUAGUCUCCUCUGGCAGGGCUGGCCCUGUGCCCCAGGUGGCUGAGGUCCUGAGGCCACACCUCCCACGGCAUCUCGGGCGCAGGUCUUUGUCCGGGCACAGGCGGGGGGCGGGUGCCCGUUUUCGGGACGGCAUAGGCUCUGUGGUCACCUGGCUGGCCAGGGCCGCGCGCCAAAACCACUCAGCCGAAGCCUCUCCCCGCGCCUGGGCGGAGCAGGGCCGGAGGCCUGGGCGUGGCCAGGUCACAAGCUACCUCCCCCCACCCCACCCGCGACUCCCAGCUUCCACCGGAAGGAAGUAGGGGCGAGGCUGGAGCACACCCUUCCCACUUUGCUGAUGAAGACAGGCCCAGCUGGGAACCAGCCCUCCCCAUUGUUUUGGUUUUGAGACUGGGCUUCACUACGUAGGUAGUGCAGGCUGGCCUCAAACACGUGAUCCUCCUGCCUCAGCCUCCUGAAUGAUGGGUCACAGGCAUGCGCCACCAGGCCUGGCUUCUCUUUGAAUCUUCAUCGUGG